GCGGCGUGCCUAACACAUGCAAGUCGAACGCGAAAGUCCCGCAAGGGAUGAGUAGAGUGGCAAACGGGUGAGUAACGCGUGGGUGACCUGCCUUCGAGUGGGGGAUAACGUUCCGAAAGGGACGCUAAUACCGCAUGACAUCCUGCCUUUGAAGAGGCGGAGAUCAAAGCCGGGGAUCGCAAGACCUGGCGCUUGAUGAGGGGCCCGCGUCUGAUUAGCUAGUUGGUGGGGUAACGGCUCACCAAGGCAACGAUCAGUAUCCGGCCUGAGAGGGCGGACGGACACACUGGGACUGAGACACGGCCCAGACUCCUACGGGAGGCAGCAGUGGGGAAUUGUUCGCAAUGGGCGCAAGCCUGACGACGCAACGCCGCGUGGAGGAUGAAGACCUUCGGGUCGUAAACUCCUUUCGAUCGAGACGAACGGCUUCCGGGUGAACAAUCCGGAAGAGUGACGGUACCGA
This 463-nucleotide ribosomal RNA is filed under the name uncultured Acidobacteriota bacterium. RNAcentral's name for it is "bacterial SSU rRNA". It matches the Rfam family "Bacterial small subunit ribosomal RNA", at positions 39 to 481 of the family's 1533-position model. The record is from RNAcentral. Lineage: Bacteria; Pseudomonadati; Acidobacteriota.